AAAAAAUCUUUUAAAUCAUAAACCUUUUUGUGAGAUUUUUCAAUUUAGUUUUUCUAACCGAAAUUUUCAACAGAUUGAUAUUUAUUACAUUGAUAUUUUCAAACCAUUGGAGGGCAAGUCUUUGCCAGCAGCCGCGGUAAUUCCAGCUUCAAUAGCGUAUAUUUAAGUUGUUGCAGUUAAAAAGCUCGUAGUUGAACUUUGGGAUAGGUCGGCUGGUCCGCCUUUUGGUGUGCGCUGAAUGUCUUGGAGCUGGUGAAUGGUGAAACGAAGGUUAGAAGAUUUUUUUUAAAAAUGGACUAACCGAGCAAGGAAGAAUAAGAUGACUUUAGAAUAAAUCGGGUUCCGAUCUUUC
RNAcentral lists this non-coding RNA (352 nucleotides) under Zostera marina. RNAcentral describes it as "Eukaryotic small subunit ribosomal RNA". It matches the Rfam family "Eukaryotic small subunit ribosomal RNA", at positions 450 to 785 of the family's 1831-position model. Lineage: Eukaryota; Viridiplantae; Streptophyta; Magnoliopsida; Alismatales; Zosteraceae. The record is from Rfam by way of RNAcentral.